Molecule: ribosomal RNA, 700 nt
Filed under: uncultured bacterium
Lineage: Bacteria
Description: bacterial SSU rRNA
Rfam family: Bacterial small subunit ribosomal RNA
Source: RNAcentral
UAUCUUCGGAUAUGAGUAGAGCGGCGGACGGGUGAGUAACGCGUAGGAAUCUACCUAGUAGAAGGGGAUAGCCCGAGGAAACUCGGAUUAAUACCGUAUACCUCCUUCGGGAGAAAGAAGGCCUCUCUUUGAAGCUUUCGCUACUAGAUGAGCCUGCGUAAGAUUAGCUUGUUGGUGAGGUAAAGGCUCACCAAGGCUACGAUCUUUAGCGGGUCUGAGAGGACGAUCCGCCACAUUGGGACUGAGACACGGCCCAGACUCCUACGGGAGGCAGCAGUGGGGAAUAUUGGACAAUGGGCGAAAGCCUGAUCCAGCCAUACCGCGUGUGUGAAGAAGGCCCUAGGGUUGUAAAGCACUUUAAGUUGGGAAGAAAAGUUAUUGGUUAAUACCCAAUGACCGUGACAUUACCAUCAGAAUAAGGACCGGCUAAUUCCGUGCCAGCAGCCGCGGUAAUACGGAAGGUCCAAGCGUUAAUCGGAAUUACUGGGCGUAAAGCGCGCGUAGGUGGUUUAUUAAGUUGGGUGUGAAAUCCCCGGGCUCAACCUGGGAACUGCAUCCAAAACUGAUUCACUAGAGUACGAUAGAGGGAGGUAGAAUUCACAGUGUAGCGGUGGAAUGCGUAGAUAUUGUGAAGAAUACCAAUGGCGAAGGCAGCCUCCUGGAUCUGUACUGACACUGAGGUGCGAAAGCGUGGGUAGCA